Molecule: ribosomal RNA, 811 nt
Filed under: uncultured archaeon
Lineage: Archaea
Description: bacterial SSU rRNA
Rfam family: Archaeal small subunit ribosomal RNA
Source: RNAcentral
ACGGCUCAGUAACACGUGGCUAAUCUGCCCUUGGGACCGGAACACCCCCGGGAAACUGGGGCUAAUUCUCGAUAGGUGAAGAACUCUGGAAUGAGUCUUCGCCCAAAAGGUGCUAGAGUUAUGCUCUUUGGCAUCGCCCAAGGAUGAGGCCGCGACCGAUCAGGUUGUUGGUGAGGUAAUGGCUCACCAAGCCUUUUACCGGUGCGGGCCGUGAGAGCGGGAGCCCGGAGAUGGGCACUGAGACAAGGGCCCAGGCCCUACGGGGCGCAGCAGUCGCGAAAACUUUGCAAUACACGAAAGUGUGACAGGGCUAUCCCGAGUGCCAUCCGCUGAGGAAGGCUUUUACCCAGUCUAGAACGCUGGGGGAAUAAGGAGAGGGCAAGUCUGGUGUCAGCCGCCGCGGUAAUACCAGCUCUCCGAGUGGUGUGGAUGUUUAUUGGGCCUAAAGCAUCCGUAGCUGGCUAAGUUAGUCCCUUGUUAAAUCCACCGAAUUAAUCGUUGGAUUGCGGGGGAUACUGCUUGGCUAGGGGACGAGAGAGGCAGACGGUAUUUCCGGGGUAGGGGUGAAAUCCUAUAAUCCCGGGAAGACCACCAGUGGCGAAGGCUGUCUGCUAGAACGCGCCCGACGGUGAGGGAUGAAAGCUGGGGGAGCGAACCGGAUUAGAUACCCGGGUAGUCCCAGCUGUAAACGAUGCAGGCUAGGUGUUUGGACGGCCACGUGCCGUUCUAGUGCCGCAGGGAAGCUGUUAAGCCUGCCGCCUGGGGAGUACGAUCGCAAGAUUGAAACUUAAAGGAAUUGGCGGGGGAGCAC